CAGUCGCCACGGUAAUACGAAGGGGGCUAGCGUUGUUCGGAAUUACUGGGCGUAAAGCGCACGCAGGCGGUCUGUCAAGUCAGAUGUGAAAUCCCCGGGCUUAACCUGGGAACUGCAUUUGAAACUGGCAGGCUAGAGUCUUGUAGAGGGGGGUAGAAUUCCAGGUGUAGCGGUGAAAUGCGUAGAGAUCUGGAGGAAUACCGGUGGCGAAGGCGGCCCCCUGGACAAAGACUGACGCUCAGGUGCGAAAGCGUGGGGAGCAAACAGGAUUAGAUACCCCUGUAGUCCCUGUCUCUUAUAC
Molecule: ribosomal RNA, 301 nt
Filed under: uncultured bacterium
Lineage: Bacteria
Description: partial 16S ribosomal RNA
Rfam family: Bacterial small subunit ribosomal RNA
Source: RNAcentral